GCUACUUUAGCUUAGUGGUAGAGCGUCUGCUUCGUAAGCAGAAGGUCGUCGGGUCAACCCUGGCAGUGGCU
This 71-nucleotide transfer RNA is filed under the name Perkinsus marinus ATCC 50983. It matches the Rfam family "tRNA". Rfam says of the family: Transfer RNA (tRNA) molecules are approximately 80 nucleotides in length. Their secondary structure includes four short double-helical elements and three loops (D, anti-codon, and T loops). Further hydrogen bonds mediate the characteristic L-shaped molecular structure. tRNAs have two regions of fundamental functional importance: the anti-codon, which is responsible for specific mRNA codon recognition, and the 3' end, to which the tRNAs corresponding amino acid is attached (by aminoacyl-tRNA synthetases). tRNAs cope with the degeneracy of the genetic code in two manners: having more than one tRNA (with a specific anti-codon) for a particular amino acid; and 'wobble' base-pairing, i.e. permitting non-standard base-pairing at the 3rd anti-codon position. The record is from Rfam by way of RNAcentral. Lineage: Eukaryota; Perkinsozoa; Perkinsida; Perkinsidae.